Molecule: long non-coding RNA, 206 nt
Organism: Onychostruthus taczanowskii (white-rumped snowfinch)
Lineage: Eukaryota; Metazoa; Chordata; Aves; Passeriformes; Passeridae
Exons: 2
Source: RefSeq, a predicted model, not a curated record
GACGUGGAGGAUCUGCUCCGCUUCCUGCGGCCGCUCCACGAGGGAACCUUGGUGCUCGUGGCCUCCUACGACGACCCGGCCACCAACACGUCCGGAACAGCCGCGGCUCCAACAAAUACGAGGGGUGGCCGGAGGCGCUGGAGCUGGGGGGCUGCGUGCCCCGGAGACCCCCGGGGUGACCCCAAAACCACCGGGGGACCCCAAAA